UUCCGUAGGUGAACCUGCGGAAGGAUCAUUACCGAGAGAGGGGCUUUGUGCUCCCGGGGGUUUCGGCCCCCAACUCUUCACCCUUUGCGUACCUACCUUUGUUGCUUUGGCGCACCCGGGAAUUCUCUCGCGCCGACCUUAGGUCUGCGAGCGUCCGUCAGAGGCCCGUUUAAUCCUACUUAUUAGUGAUGUCCGAGUCCACACACAAUGAAUAAAAACUUUCAACAACGGAUCUCUUGGUUCCAGCAUCGAUGAAGAACGCAGCGAAAUGCGAUAAGUAAUGUGAAUUGCAGAAUUCAGUGAAUCAUCGAAUCUUUGAACGCACAUUGCGCCCCUCGGCAUUCCGGGGGGCAUGCCUGUUCGAGCGUCAUUGCACCCCUCAAGCGCAGCUUGGUAUUGGGCUCUCGCCCCCGUGGCGUGCCCGAAAAACAGUGGCGGUCCGGCGUGACUUUAAGCGUAGUAAAAUCUUCCCGCUCUGAAGCUCUCGCCGUGGCCGGCCAGACAACCCCAUUUGCUUCUAUAAUUGACCUCGGAUCAGGUAGGGAUACCCGCUGAACUUAA
This 561-nucleotide ribosomal RNA is filed under the name Xanthoparmelia austroafricana. RNAcentral's name for it is "eukaryotic LSU rRNA". The stretch from base 217 to 370 matches the Rfam family "5.8S ribosomal RNA". Lineage: Eukaryota; Fungi; Ascomycota; Lecanoromycetes; Lecanorales; Parmeliaceae. The record is from RNAcentral.